AUCCCAGCUAGUUACAAACAACGAGAUACUCUUUCUCUAACAAGAUGGAAGCACCUAGCCUUGUGAACAGCAAUGUUCAAUACAAAGAACACAGAGAGGAAAGUCAGACAUAUCCUGUGAAUGUGAGGAGAACUCACUGUAUCAGCUCCUCCCAGGGAAGCAGAUCCUGAUAACCUUGUUUCUCCAGUACAGUGCCAACAUAUGUCUAGAACAUGUGUUCAUCGCAUUUUCAAUAAGAAACAGACAAUGAGACCUUAAGCAGAAGACUUUUGGGGAUGUUGAGAUGAUUUCCAGCCAACAGCAACAAAAGAAGGAAAUUUAUUUUCUUUCUAUGCUAUUUCAUUGGACACAUGGAAUGAAGUGGU
Molecule: long non-coding RNA, 365 nt
Organism: Mus musculus (house mouse)
Lineage: Eukaryota; Metazoa; Chordata; Mammalia; Rodentia; Muridae
Product: predicted gene, 40146
Exons: 4
Source: RefSeq, a predicted model, not a curated record